UACGGGGGGGGCAAGCGUUGUUCGGAAUUACUGGGCGUAAAGGGCUCGUAGGUGGCCAACUAAGUCAGACGUGAAAUCCCUCAGCUUAACUGGGGAACUGCGUCUGAUACUGGAUGGCUUGAGUUUGGGAGAGGGACGCGGAAUUCCAGGUGUAGCGGUGAAAUGCGUAGAUAUCUGGAGGAACACCGGUGGCGAAGGCGGCGUCCUGGACCAACACUGACACUGAUGAGCGAAAGCCAGGGUAGCAAACGGG
This 253-nucleotide ribosomal RNA is filed under the name uncultured bacterium. RNAcentral describes it as "partial 16S ribosomal RNA". It matches the Rfam family "Bacterial small subunit ribosomal RNA", at positions 524 to 776 of the family's 1533-position model. The record is from RNAcentral.